This 1117-nucleotide long non-coding RNA is filed under the name Bos indicus x Bos taurus (hybrid cattle). RNAcentral's name for it is "lncRNA (ENSBIXG00005014938.1)". Lineage: Eukaryota; Metazoa; Chordata; Mammalia; Artiodactyla; Bovidae. The record is from RNAcentral.
UGUGUCUCCAGUGUUUCAGCCUGACACCUCUGACAUGUUUUCAUAGUCUCUCCCUAGACAGUAAGCUCCUUAAAGGCGGGGACAGUGUUUUAUUAAUCUCUACACUUCUGGGACCUGGUGCCAUUGCAGGGACUGAAUGAAUGAAUGCAUGCUUGCAUGACAAUGAAGCAGGCAGGGCUCAAUGCUACUUCGUGGAACUGCUUCCUCAUUACACUUUUUUGGUUCAGUCCUCCAACUCAUAACAAAACACCAAAUCACAUUAUCCGUGUCCAGGUCACCCCACUCCUCUCAUUUACCCACAGGAUACUGUCGCAGACUCAUACUGUGCUUUGCUGAGUUGCCUAUUUCCCAGAAUAGAACACCAAGAAAUGCCAGUAUUUCAAGAUGUUCUGGCAGAAAAGGAUUUCAAGGUCACAGCUUCACUCCAGGUUCCUUAAGGGAAAAAGCAAUACUAAUUUCCAAUCUGGAUGGUGAGCUUCCAACCUGAAGAUUUUAUGAUUGUCACAGAAACUUAGGGUGUAUCUCUACUUACAUCCUAGACUAAAGUCCAAACUUCUUGUUUAAAAGUGAAAAGAUACUUCAUCAUAGAAACCUAUCUGCCUAGUUGACUUCUGUACCUGGGCUUGUACAGAGUGAAAUGAUAUUUCUUUCUCUGAUAGCACUUUGGCAAGUUUAAGGGACUGCAGUGUAAGUACAGAGCAUCAGCCCGCAGUUCAUCCACCUGACAUCUGAAACUGUUUCUACUACUCACAUUCAGUAGAGUUGUUUUUCCCAAAAGGAUAAUAGUAAUCUCAAAUCCUAUUGCAGAGCUGGUAUUUACAAGCUCAAUUUCACAUUUUUUUCCAAGCCAAAUUCCCUAAGUAUCUGGAUUCAUUAGUACUCUGAAAAGGGACUUGCCAUCUGAAAACUGAAAAACAGUGCCUAGAAAUGAUGAUUCUCGGGUAUUUGCAUCAUUUCAUGUCCGGGUGAGGGUUAUGUUAAUAGCUUCAGACAUCACAUCUGCAAAACAUUGUUUGAUGUUCCUAAUGAAGAUUUCACAGUCCUGAGAUAGCCGAGUGGAAAGAACUGGUUUGUCUCUCACUGUAUCUGGUUAAUAAAAUGGAAUAAGUGUUUGCCA